CCAAAAUGAUGUUGCUUUGGUUCCGGCGAUUCAUCUCGUCGGUGAAAAGGGAAGCCGGUUAAAAUCCGGCGCUGCCCCCGCAACUGUAAGCGGCAAGUCGACGUCCGAUACCACUGGUGCAGCCGCAUCGGGAAGGCGGGCCAAGACGUUCGAGCCGCAAGUCAGGAGACCUGCCAAAGCAUGAAAGAUGACG
RNAcentral lists this non-coding RNA (193 nucleotides) under Pseudosulfitobacter pseudonitzschiae. Lineage: Bacteria; Pseudomonadati; Pseudomonadota; Alphaproteobacteria; Rhodobacterales; Roseobacteraceae. The record is from RNAcentral.